CCUACGUGAUGCAGCAGUGGGGAAUAUUGCGCAAUGGGCGAAAGCCUGACGCAGCGACGCCGCGUGAGGGAUGAAGGUCUUCGGAUCGUAAACCUCUGUCAGCAGGGAAGAACGGUCACUGUGCUAAUCAGCAGUGAAUUGACGGUACCUGCAAAGGAAGCACCGGCUAACUCCGUGCCAGCAGCCGCGGUAAUACGGAGGGUGCGAGCGUUAAUCGGAAUUACUGGGCGUAAAGCGCUCGUAGGCGGUAUGUCAAGUCAAGGGUGAAAUCCCCGCGCUCAACGUGGGAACUGCCUUUGAAACUGGCAAACUGGAGUGUGUGAGAGGAGAGUGGAAUUCCAGGUGUAGGAGUGAAAUCCGUAGAUAUCUGGAGGAACAUCAGUGGCGAAGGCGACUAUCUGGCACAUAACUGACGCUGAGGAGCGAAAGCGUGGGUAGCAAACAGGAUUAGAUACCCCUGUAGUC
Molecule: ribosomal RNA, 465 nt
Filed under: uncultured bacterium
Lineage: Bacteria
Description: partial 16S ribosomal RNA
Rfam family: Bacterial small subunit ribosomal RNA
Source: RNAcentral